AGGUUAUAACUAGUUAUGAAAUAUUAGUGGAAUCCAGUAGUUAACUACUAGAUUAUAGGAACAUUUUUGACUUUUGAUACAGUCUGGCCCACUAUACAAUCGGCAAGGUUUGAAAGGAGAUACGGAAAGCAUCAACUUUAAUAUUAUAAGUUCAUUUAAUGUUAUAAAAUAUAUACUCUUUAA
Hydra vulgaris (swiftwater hydra) is the source of this 183-nucleotide non-coding RNA. NCBI's taxonomy places the organism in Eukaryota, Metazoa, Cnidaria, Hydrozoa, Anthoathecata, Hydridae. The record is from RefSeq and is a predicted model, not a curated record.